AAGCUCUGUAAAGAAAGAGACCUUCUUUAAGAGGCCAACACAGAAGGGUAAAGGAGCUUUCCAUAAAACCUAGAGAAGAGAUUGUACAUCUCUUCUGGAGCACAACUGGGAGUUGGGGG
Small nucleolar RNA from Nannospalax galili (Upper Galilee mountains blind mole rat), 119 nucleotides. NCBI's taxonomy places the organism in Eukaryota, Metazoa, Chordata, Mammalia, Rodentia, Spalacidae. The record is from Ensembl.